Molecule: long non-coding RNA, 938 nt
Organism: Pezoporus occidentalis (night parrot)
Lineage: Eukaryota; Metazoa; Chordata; Aves; Psittaciformes; Psittacidae
Exons: 3
Source: RefSeq, a predicted model, not a curated record
GGCCGACACAUUUCUUCUGCAGGUGACGAAGAGAUUGACUGCUGUCUAGUGCAUGCUAAAGGAACCCUAUGGAUUUCUAAAGAUAUCUUGAGAAUAAUUAAUUCACAGCUAAGUUUGGAUAUUCUAGGGAAAAGGUAUUGGAAUACCUUCAGGGAGGAAAUGAAACAGGUUAAUCACACCAGACCUCAUAAAUAUUUGUAAGAGCCCUGUCCACUGAAAGAUAGAGGUAUCUGAAGAUGGCUUGGCUGAAAUGAAAGCAACUAAUGUCAGUACUGUAGUUGUGCAAAAUCUUUGCUCAGAUGUCACCACUUGAUGUUCCUAAACUCACUGGGAGCUUCUUCCCUGUGUGGGUGGCAUUUCUACAUGUACCAUGCCUUAUCCAUGUGCCCCAAACUGCUCAUGCUGAGUAGCUCAGCAUUUAAUGUAGCCUGGCUACUGCCACACACUUGUCACUUCUCCAUCCUCAUCUCAAGAAAGACCCAGAUAUAUGCAUGCAAAGUUUGUGAAUUAUACUCCCUCCUAACACAGGAACAUUAUUCUUAUGUAUAUGCAUAUUCAAGCUAUGAUCUAAUGCAACUUCAUUUCAGUGGAGGCCUAGGAAAUCAUCAAAUAUUGAGAGUCUGCUGGUAAUGCUUGACUAUGUAGCAACUAACAUAUAUUUGACAUGUAAAAUUGCAGGUAACUUUCUUUUUGUUUACAGCUCUUAGUUUGUUGCAUUCCAAAAGAAAGAAAACAUUGUUCUUCUGUCCUUGGAAAAAAAAAUAGAUACAAAAGAAUUUGUUUAGGACAGCCAUUUAAGUGGUUAUUGUUUUCAUGUGAUUUUCAGGAUCUCUUGGAACCCAAUUAUAUAAAGUAUUUCAAGUUUCCCAUCUCUGAGAGGCAUUCUUAAGUUAUGUUGUCCAUGUUCAGUCAUGUAAGACCAUUUUUAUUUUGUCACC